This 228-nucleotide ribosomal RNA is filed under the name uncultured bacterium. RNAcentral describes it as "partial 16S ribosomal RNA". It matches the Rfam family "Bacterial small subunit ribosomal RNA", at positions 107 to 334 of the family's 1533-position model. The record is from RNAcentral.
UGAGUAACACGUAUCCAACCUGCCGUCUACUCUUGGCCAGCCUUCUGAAGGAAGAUUAAUCCAGGAUGGCAUCAUGAGUUCACAUGUCCGCAUGAUUAAAGGUAUUUUCCGGUAGACGAUGGGGAUGCGUUCCAUUAGAUAGUAGGCGGGGUAACGGCCCACCUAGUCAACGAUGGAUAGGGGUUCUGAGAGGAAGGUCCCCCACAUUGGAACUGAGACACGGUCCAA